AGUGGAGCGACGAACCAGGCUUCGGCCUGGAGCAAAGCCGCGAACGGGUGAGUAACACGUGGGUAACCUGCCCCGAUGAUUGGGACAACCCGAGGAAACUCGGGCUAAUACCGAAUGUGCCCUCCGGCCAUAAGGCUGCUGGGGAAAGGAAGCUUCGGCCUCCGCAUCGGGAUGGGCCCGCGGCCCAUUAGCUUGUUGGUGAGGUAACGGCUCACCAAGGCAACGAUGGGUAGCUGGUCUGAGAGGACGAUCAGCCACACUGGGACUGAGACACGGCCCAGACUCCUACGGGAGGCAGCAGUGGGGAAUCUUGCGCAAUGCGCGAAAGCGUGACGCAGCAACGCCGCGUGGGGGAAGAAGGCCUUCGGGUUGUAAACCCCUUUCAGUUGGGACGAAGCUCCGUCGGUGAAUAGCCGGCUGGGGUGACGGUACCUUCAGAAGAAGCCCCGGCUAACUACGUGCCAGCAGCCGCGGUAAUACGUAGGGGGCAAGCGUUGUCCGGAAUCAUUGGGCGUAAAGAGCGUGUAGGCGGCUCGGUAAGUCCGCUGUGAAAGUCCAGGGCUCAACCCUGGAAUGCCGGUGGAAACUGUCGAGCUAGAGUCCGGAAGAGGCGAGUGGAAUUCCUGGUGUAGCGGUGAAAUGCGCAGAUAUCA
Molecule: ribosomal RNA, 653 nt
Filed under: uncultured Actinomycetes bacterium
Lineage: Bacteria; Bacillati; Actinomycetota; Actinomycetes
Description: bacterial SSU rRNA
Rfam family: Bacterial small subunit ribosomal RNA
Source: RNAcentral